AGAGUUUGAUCCUGGCUCAGAACGUACGCUGGCGGCACGCCUAACACAUGCAAGUCGAACGAAGUAGCAAUACUUAGUGGCAGACGGGUGAGUAACAUGUAGGUAUCUGCCCUUUGGCCUGGAAUAACACGAGGAAACUUGUGCUAAUACCGGAUAAGUCUUUACGGAGAAAGCUUUAUGCACCAUUGGAUGAGCCUGCACUUGAUUAGUUUGUUGGUGGGGUAAUGGCCUACCAAGACUGUGAUCAAUAGCUGAUUUGAGAGGAUGAUCAGCCACAUUGGGACUGAGACACGGCCCAAACUCCUACGGGAGGCAGCAGUGGGGAAUCUUGCACAAUGGAGGAAACUCUGAUGCAGCGAUGCCGCGUGAGUGAAGAAGGCCUUUGGGUUGUAAAGCUCUUUCGUCGGGGAAGAAAAUGACUGUACCCGAAUAAGAAGGUCCGGCUAACUUCGUGCCAGCAGCCGCGGUAAUACGAAGGGACCUAGCGUAGUUCGGAAUUACUGGGCUUAAAGAGUUCGUAGGUGGUUGAAAAAGUUGGUGGUGAAAUCCCAGAGCUUAACUCUGGAACUGCCAUCAAAACUUUUCAGCUAGAGUAUGAUAGAGGAAAGCAGAAUUUCUAGUGUAGAGGUGAAAUUCGUAGAUAUUAGAAAGAAUACCAAUUGCGAAGGCAGCUUUCUGGAUCAUUACUGACACUGAGGAACGAAAGCGUGGGUAGCGAAGAGGAUUAGAUACCCUCGUAGUCCAUGCCGUAAACGAUGUGUGUUAGACGUUGGAAAUUUAUUUUCAGUGUCGCAGCGAAAGCGAUAAACACACCGCCUGGGGAGUACGACCGCAAGGUUAAAACUCAAAUGAAUUGACGGGGACCCGCACAAGUAGUGGAGCAUGUGGUUUAAUUCGAAGAUACGCGCAGAACCUUACCAACACUUGACAUGUUCGUCGCGACUUUAAGAGAUUAAAGUUUUCGGUUCGGCCGGACGAAACACAGGUGCUGCAUGGCUGUCGUCAGCUCGUGUCGUGAGAUGUUGGGUUAAGUCCCGCAACGAGCGCAACCCUCACUUUUAGUUGCCAUCAUUUAGUUGGGCACUCUGAAAGAACUGCCAGUGAUAAGCUGGAGGAAGGUGGGGAUGACGUCAAGUCCUCAUGGCCCUUACGUGUUGGGCUACACACGUGCUACAAUGGUAUCUACAACAGGAAGCAAAACUGCGAAGUUAAGCAAAUCCUUAAAAGAUACCUCAGUUCGGAUUGCACUCUGCAACUCGAGUGCAUGAAGCUGGAAUUACUAGUAAUCGUGGAUCAGCGUGCCACGGUGAAUGCGUUCCCGGGUCUUGUACACACCGCCCGUCACACCAUGGGAGUUGGUUCUACCUUAAGGCAAGGUUUCAAACCCUUGACCACGGUAUAGUCAGCGACUGGGGUGAAGUCGUAACAAGGUAACC
This 1436-nucleotide ribosomal RNA is filed under the name uncultured bacterium. Its description in RNAcentral is "bacterial SSU rRNA". It matches the Rfam family "Bacterial small subunit ribosomal RNA". The record is from RNAcentral.